RNAcentral lists this non-coding RNA (21 nucleotides) under Caenorhabditis elegans. The record is from RNAcentral. Lineage: Eukaryota; Metazoa; Nematoda; Chromadorea; Rhabditida; Rhabditidae.
UUCUCCUCUUAGGUUUGAGGU